GUAGGCAGUAGCAGUGCAAGUAUGGCGGUAUGGUCCGGUGUACCAUUAAGAGUUUGGCAGCUGGUACGCCAUACUGCCCGUCCACUUUUCAGCCAUUAGUUCAGAACUGCACCGCCGAGCAAGACCAUGAUCUUACACUGCGGCGUGACAGCUCCUCCAUCUUAACCAGGAUUGCUGGGAACUCAGUGUCGGUUGGAGCGAGAAUCAGCUGCGUGCGCUGCAGCUGUUGGUCUCCGUUCUCCCAGCAGCUGCUCCCCUCGGAAUAUGCUCAAGAACAGCAGACCUACCUCAGCAGCCAUGGCGGACUCUACACCAAAAGGAAAAGGCUGCCAGAGGAGCCGGCAGGAGACCUAAAAAGAAAAAUAUAGAAAUCCUGAGGUGGAGGAAUGGGAUCCGGUCAGGAUACCGGCUGUUGAAAGACCGACGCCGGAAUGCUGACACUGAUCAGAAUGCCAGCGCCGACAUCCCAAACAGGAUCACAAUGCCAGUGUCGGCAUCCUGACAGCCAGGAUCCCAAUCGAGUGACUGCCGGAAUGUCGGAGAGAAUAAAUCUAAACACAAUGAAUGGUUGCGUUCCACUGAGAAUACGGAUAAUACGGAUAAGGAAGAGUUUAACUUCCUGUUUGCGUGUCACCGAGAUGGCGGAAAUGACAAAAUUACGACUUCCGGCGGACGUCAUCAUGCUUCAUACUAGGAUGCGAUCCGCUGUAGAGAGCCGCUAUGGGACUAAGAGACUUUCGUCUGUUGAAAUAAGAACUUCCGCUUUGUGUGGAACGCAAGCGGUGGCCGAGACAACCGCUUUGGCGCCACCGGACAUCCAAUAGUCUGUGCCGGAGACCGAGACGAACUUUGGGAUAAAAUAUAUGAUUGGUCACAUUUGGUUUGGAAAUGAGAAAAUGAAAAUCGAGAAUGGAUCUGGAUGUGGAUUGGAUAUAAAAUAAUUGGAAAAAAUACGGGAUCCGGGCCAUGUAUUACUAUGUUUCAAUUAUUAGUAAUGUUUGAAAUAUAUGUAUUAAUAAGAGGUUUUAAUAUUGUUGAAUACAUGGGAGUUAUAGAUAUAUGUAUUUAGAGUAUGAUAAGUCGAACAGAAUGUAAUAUUCUGGGUUUGCAGGAUUCUUUUAAUGAUGAAUACUGAUGUCAUGCAGCGAUUGGCUGCAGAUCACAUGGUUAGGCUCAGUUGGUAUAAAUAUUUGUAUUGGGCUUACACACUUCAUACCCUGAGGAAGGAAACAUUUCCGAAACGCGUUGGUGUUUGGAGGUACAGGGAUCCCCACUAUCACGUAUAUAAGGAGUAAGAUCUUUUUCUCAAACCUACCCAUUUUUCAAAUUUUUCCCGGGACUAAUUUGGCUGCUGGUUAAUGUUUGGAGUCCUUGUGGAGUGAAGUGGUGUAACCCCUGUUUAUGUAUUUUAUCUUUUUGUAAUAAAACGCUUUUUAUGGAGA
This is a long non-coding RNA of Pseudophryne corroboree (corroboree frog), 1442 nucleotides long. RefSeq lists it as uncharacterized. The transcript is spliced from 3 exons. The record is from RefSeq and is a predicted model, not a curated record. NCBI's taxonomy places the organism in Eukaryota, Metazoa, Chordata, Amphibia, Anura, Myobatrachidae.